RNAcentral lists this ribosomal RNA (323 nucleotides) under Colocharis sp. UCRC ENT00092065. RNAcentral describes it as "eukaryotic LSU rRNA". It matches the Rfam family "Eukaryotic large subunit ribosomal RNA", at positions 674 to 944 of the family's 3401-position model. The record is from RNAcentral. Lineage: Eukaryota; Metazoa; Arthropoda; Insecta; Hymenoptera; Eucharitidae.
UCUAGCAUGUGCGCGAGUCAUUGGGACUUUUUUUCAGGAAAGCCCAGAGGCGCAAUGAAAGUGAAGAUCGGCCUUUUCGGCUUGAUCGAGGGAGGAUGGCUCAUUGUUAUUUUUUUAUAAUGACGGGCUCGCACUCCCGGGGCGUCUCGCGCUCAUUUCGAGCGGAGGCGCACCCAGAGCGUACACGCUGGGACCCGAAAGAUGGUGAACUAUGCCUGGUCAGGACGAAGUCAGGGGAAACCCUGAUGGAGGUCCGUAGCGAUUCUGACGUGCAAAUCGAUCGUCGGAACUGGGUAUAGGGGCGAAAGACUAAUCGAACCAUC